This 443-nucleotide ribosomal RNA is filed under the name uncultured Candidatus Solibacter sp. RNAcentral's name for it is "bacterial SSU rRNA". It matches the Rfam family "Bacterial small subunit ribosomal RNA", at positions 335 to 796 of the family's 1533-position model. The record is from RNAcentral. Lineage: Bacteria; Pseudomonadati; Acidobacteriota; Terriglobia; Bryobacterales; Solibacteraceae.
UGCCUACGGGUGGCAGCAGUGGGGAAUCUUGCACAAUGGGGGAAACCCUGAUGCAGCGACGCCGCGUGAGCGAUGAAGCCCUUCGGGGUGUAAAGCUCUUUCGGCAGGGAAGAUGAUGACGGUACCUGCAGAAGCAGCUGCGGCUAACUACGUGCCAGCAGCCGCGGUAAUACGUAGGCAGCAAGCGUUGUUCGGAGUUACUGGGCGUAAAGGGUGUGUAGGCGGUUCUUUAAGUUUGGUGUGAAAUCUCCCGGCUCAACUGGGAGGGUGCGCCGAAUACUGAGGGACUCGAGUGCGGGAGAGGAAAGUGGAAUUCCUGGUGUAGCGGUGAAAUGCGUAGAUAUCAGGAGGAACACCGGUGGUGUAAACGGCUUUCUGGACCGUAACUGACGCUGAGACACGAAAGCGUGGGUAGCAAACAGGAUUAGAUACCCUAGUAGUCC